UCCCGCUUUACUCUUUAGAUUCAUGGGUUCAAGCGUUUAAGCAUGCAUACUACCUUCGCCAUACGUUCAUUAGUCAUCUUACAGUCAUUUUCCUCUUUCCAAGAGGUGUUGGCCUAAAGGCAACCUGCUAAUUACGUUCUCAACGAAUUCCCUGCUGCGCACUCUGAUUCGACUACUUACUAGCAUCCUCUUGACUGUGUCAUUGCAGCCUUAGUUUAGAGAUUCCUGGACAGUGUCAGACAUCGUCUCAUAUUAUCUGACGUUACUGUUUUUGUUGUCACUCCUACCGUUGGACAUCCCAAAGUAAUACUUGCAUCACUUCGUGACAUCAGACGCACCACUGUAUUUAACACUUUACCACAUCUUACAGUCUCGCGACACAUCUAUACAUACCACUUACGGUCGUCUCAUACUCCUGGUCUCCUCACGAUGUCGCAUAUUUCUAUACGUUCCUUCUUCACGUCGUAAUUCACCUGUGAUAACGUAGUUGAUUCAACAUCUACUAUGAAUUACUCUAUUGAAAUUCAUGAGCCAAUUCAACUGACAAGAAUUAUCCACUCAGCACAUAAAUUGUUAAAGAUCCAUCGCUUCUAAUUAUCUGACCGAAAACUAGAUAAGAAGAAAAAAAUGAAAACUUGAGCAAUGAAGUUGGUCAAUAUGAUGAGAAGAACCUGGGUAUGAAGAAGAGUAAUACAUUCACCAGAUAUCAUUGGUUCAAUGCUAAUAGAGCAA
Molecule: long non-coding RNA, 732 nt
Filed under: Trifolium pratense (red clover)
Lineage: Eukaryota; Viridiplantae; Streptophyta; Magnoliopsida; Fabales; Fabaceae
Description: long non-coding RNA (TPRA_LNC010944)
Source: RNAcentral